UGGCUUUUUCAACUUUUUUGGAUUCGAGCGUCACUGAUGAGUCUUUUGUAGACGAAACGCGCGUCUGGCGUAUAUACUAAAUUUAGUCCUGGUAUCUAUGAUGAGUUUAUUUAUCAUAGUCCUUCGUAAUUAAUUCCAUUUUUCAUUUGCAUAUAUUUGAAGCUGGUAUAUUUAUUGAAGGAUACAUAUUUCUUGUUAAAAAAGUUUUUAUGGAAUACAUUUUUUAGCAUUUAUUUUGAUUUUUUUUU
RNAcentral lists this long non-coding RNA (248 nucleotides) under Mytilus galloprovincialis (Mediterranean mussel). The record is from RNAcentral. Lineage: Eukaryota; Metazoa; Mollusca; Bivalvia; Mytilida; Mytilidae.